Molecule: ribosomal RNA, 446 nt
Filed under: uncultured bacterium
Lineage: Bacteria
Description: partial 16S ribosomal RNA
Rfam family: Bacterial small subunit ribosomal RNA
Source: RNAcentral
CCUACGGGUGGCAGCAGUCGAGAAUCAUUCACAAUGGGGGAAACCCUGAUGGAGCGACGCCGCGUGGGGGAAUGAAGGUCUUCGGAUUGUAAACCCCUGUCAUGGGGGAGCAAAUUAAAAAGAUAGUACCACAAGAGGAAGAGACGGCUAACUCUGGGCCAGCAGCCGCGGUAAUACAGAGGUGUCAAGGGUUGUUCGGAAUCACUGGGCCUAAAGGGUUCGUAGGCUGGUUCGUAAAUCGUGUGGGAAAUGCGCGGGCUCAACCCGCGGACGGCACAUGAUACUGGGAGACUAGAGUAAUGGAGGGGGAAGCGGAAUUCUAGGUGUAGCAGUGAAAUGCGUAGAUAUCGAGAAGAACACUCGUGGCGAAGGCGGGUUCCUGGACAUUAACUGACGCUGAGGCACGAAGGCCAGGGGAGCGAAAGGGAUUAGAUACCCGAGUAGUC